Molecule: ribosomal RNA, 490 nt
Filed under: Bacillus sp. MN65
Lineage: Bacteria; Bacillati; Bacillota; Bacilli; Caryophanales; Bacillaceae
Description: bacterial SSU rRNA
Rfam family: Bacterial small subunit ribosomal RNA
Source: RNAcentral
ACGAAAGUCUGACGGAGCAACGCCGCGUGAGUGAUGAAGGUUUUCGGAUCGUAAAGCUCUGUUGUUAGGGAAGAACAAGUGCAAGAGUAACUGCUUGCACCUUGACGGUACCUAACCAGAAAGCCACGGCUAACUACGUGCCAGCAGCCGCGGUAAUACGUAGGUGGCAAGCGUUGUCCGGAAUUAUUGGGCGUAAAGGGCUCGCAGGCGGUUUCUUAAGUCUGAUGUGAAAGCCCCCGGCUCAACCGGGGAGGGUCAUUGGAAACUGGGAAACUUGAGUGCAGAAGAGGAGAGUGGAAUUCCACGUGUAGCGGUGAAAUGCGUAGAGAUGUGGAGGAACACCAGUGGCGAAGGCGACUCUCUGGUCUGUAACUGACGCUGAGGAGCGAAAGCGUGGGGAGCGAACAGGAUUAGAUACCCUGGUAGUCCACGCCGUAAACGAUGAGUGCUAAGUGUUAGGGGGUUUCCGCCCCUUAGUGCUGCAGCUAAC